UACAUAGGUCCCAAGCGUUGUUCGGAUUCAUUGGGCGUAAAGGGUGCGUAGGCGGCGCGGUAAGUCGGGUGUGAAAUCUCGGGGCUUAACUCCGAAACUGCAUUCGAUACUGCCGUGCUUGAGGACUGGAGAGGAGACUGGAAUUUACGGUGUAGCGGUGAAAUGCGUAGAUAUCGUAAGGAAGACCAGUGGCGAAGGCGGGUCUCUGGACAGUUCCUGACGCUGAGGCACGAAGGUCAGGGGAGCAAACGGG
RNAcentral lists this ribosomal RNA (253 nucleotides) under uncultured bacterium. RNAcentral describes it as "partial 16S ribosomal RNA". It matches the Rfam family "Bacterial small subunit ribosomal RNA", at positions 524 to 776 of the family's 1533-position model. The record is from RNAcentral.